UACGAAGGGUGCUAGCGUUGUUCGGAAUUACUGGGCGUAAAGCGCGCGUAGGCGGCUUUGCAAGUCAGGGGUGAAAUCCCACGGCUCAACCGUGGAAUUGCCUUUGAAACUGUAAAGCUUGAGUAUCGGAGGGGAGUGCGGAAUUGCUAAUGUAGAGGUGAAAUUCGUAGAUAUUAGCAGGAACACCGGUGGCGAAGGCGGCACUCUGGACGAUAACUGACGCUGAGGCGCGAAAGCGCGGGGAUCAAACAGG
This 253-nucleotide ribosomal RNA is filed under the name uncultured prokaryote. RNAcentral describes it as "partial 16S ribosomal RNA". It matches the Rfam family "Bacterial small subunit ribosomal RNA", at positions 524 to 776 of the family's 1533-position model. The record is from RNAcentral.